CAGCAGCCGCGGUAAUACGAAGGGUGCAAGCGUUACUCGGAAUUACUGGGCGUAAAGCGUGCGUAGGUGGUGGUUUAAGUCCGUUGUGAAAGCCCUGGGCUCAACCUGGGAAUUGCAGUGGAUACUGGGUCACUAGAGUGUGGUAGAGGAUAGUGGAAUUUCCGGUGUAGCAGUGAAAUGCGUAGAGAUCGGAAGGAACAUCUGUGGCGAAGGCGACUAUCUGGGCCAACACUGACACUGAGGCACGAAAGCGUGGGGAGCAAACAGGAUUAGAUACCCGUGUAGUCCCUGUCUCUUAUAU
This 301-nucleotide ribosomal RNA is filed under the name uncultured bacterium. RNAcentral describes it as "partial 16S ribosomal RNA". It matches the Rfam family "Bacterial small subunit ribosomal RNA", at positions 509 to 809 of the family's 1533-position model. The record is from RNAcentral.